UAGAGAAUUCCCCCCCCCCCCCACAUGAGAAAGCGAGAGACAUCAUGGCUUUCAAAUGAGCAAAGUGCCAGUUGGUCAAUAAUAAUGGUCUAUAUAAAAGCAUCCAAAACGCACCAUGUCAUGGGACCUUUAACAAACGUUUGCAUAAAUUGCGAGUGGUAGAUUCCCAUUUAGCAAAGAAUAUGAAGGGAUUAUAUGGGUCCAUUACAGAAAGUUUAGACAGAAGCUAGUGGAACAAACGUUAAAAUCAGGGUUGGUAAUGUUGAAAAGAUAGCAAGAUGUGAAAGUAGUAUUUAUUGCUGUCGGGGUACAAAGACCAUUUUAAACAACAUAUUAAAAAAGUGUACGUAUAUUGGAACAUAUAGGGGCUCUUAGGCAGAAAAACAACCAUUCUCAAUAUGUUUACUAGACCAACCAACAUAAAGGAAACCACUGAAGAUAAUGAUGAGCAUGUAGAGGUAAAUCACAUCAUCAUUAGUAUGUAUGGUUUCAAAAGAUUCUGAAUUUCAAAACCUAGCACAUACAGUCUUAUGCUUAUGUUUUGUUCUUACGUGUGGAAAGGCUACCCUUUGUAAGUGCACUUAAAUCAGAAUAAAUUCCUAGUUUGAUAAAGCCGCAAUAUUAAUGCUAUUAUUCAAUAUUUCCCAAAAGUAGCACAACUGUCUUUAAAAAAAAAAAGAAGAAGUGAAAAGUUAUUUGUCUUUUGAUGCCUUUUUUCUCAUUUUAUCUGACAAAGCACUUAAUCCAUACAGUUAAAUUGAAUUGUGUUUUUAAAUUGCAAUCUUGCUCUCUAUCGGACCUGUUCACUGCAUUUUGAUGUAUUAACACUUCAGACUCCCAGGUUGCUACAGUGUGGUCUUUUCUCCUGAUUAUGAGUAUUUUGCUGUGAUCUAUCCCAGACUUUUGAAGUGUGUUAAUGUUGUGAACCUUUGAACACAUACUGGAAACCUAACCGAGCCAUGUCAGCCGACCUCAAUUUUUUCUUUCUUUUUGUCUUUUGUCCUUUGUCCUUUGCUUGUUCCAGGAUGCUCUGUCAUCUUUCCAAUUUCCUUGAUCCAAGUCAGAUUUAAAAUCUUAUAUUCUCUUGUCCUACUGCUGUUAUCUGCCUGAUGUCUCACCUCUUGGUGGGAGAAAGAUUGUUUAUAAACUACUUUAAAUAAGGCUAACUUUGGAACUGGUACUGCUACUUCAAUAAUUUUUCUCCGUCUACAUAUUAAGAGAUCCUCAAACCAAAAUAUGUCUUUUUAAUAUCAGACACAGCGCGUAUGCUUUAAAAAUUUCCUUCACAGAGAAAACCGGUGUGGUCAUCUGCAACAUGCAGUAUGAUGAGGUGGCCUUAGUCCUGGUAGUUAGUUCAAUGAUUGCUUCUAGAGUAUAUCAUCUAUGUGAAAUAAACAGAAAAUUAAUCAAAUAUCAGCUCUAAGAAUCACAGCCACAAAGUAAUCAUUUGGACUCCAAGGAAUGGCUGUGGUUGAAUUAGCAACAUCACUGAGUGCCUGUUGUACACCAUGUUCAAUGAAUAACCAAAGCAACAUUAGCAGUUUUGCAGGAUGCCAGCACAUUUGUAAAAGUGUUUCCUUUUUCAUGUUUUUUUUUCCUAUACAGUACCUGUGUGAUUUCUAUAUAAAUGCUGUCCUGAAUGAAAUAGCCAACUCAUCACUGUUACCUGAAAACAGUUUUAUGUUAUUGUGUGUCUAAAAUGAAUGAUAACACUUUGAUUCUUCUGACAUUAACUUUUUUUUUAAUUUUUUUAAACGGUGAAUUGUAUGUGCCAAUAAAACACUCAUACCUGA
This is a long non-coding RNA of Etheostoma cragini (Arkansas darter), 1793 nucleotides long. RefSeq lists it as uncharacterized. The record is from RefSeq and is a predicted model, not a curated record. The transcript has 2 exons. NCBI's taxonomy places the organism in Eukaryota, Metazoa, Chordata, Actinopteri, Perciformes, Percidae.